This 513-nucleotide ribosomal RNA is filed under the name uncultured bacterium. RNAcentral describes it as "partial 16S ribosomal RNA". It matches the Rfam family "Bacterial small subunit ribosomal RNA", at positions 28 to 523 of the family's 1533-position model. The record is from RNAcentral.
GACGAACGCUGGCGGCGUGCCUAACACAUGCAAGUCGAACGGGGAGUUAGCAAUAACUCCUAGUGGCGAACGGGUGAGUAACGCGUAGACAACCUGCCUCUAAACUGGGGACAACACCGCGAAAGUGGUGCUAAUACCGAAUGUGGUAACUUGAUCGCAUGAUCGAGUUAAGAAAGAUGGCCUCUAUUUAUAAGCUGUCGAUUAGAGAUGGGUCUGCGUCUGAUUAGCUAGUUGGUGAGGUAAUGGCUCACCAAGGCGACGAUCAGUAGCCGGUCUGAGAGGAUGAACGGCCACACUGGGACUGAGACACGGCCCAGACUCCUACGGAGGCAGCAGUGGGGAAUCUUCCGCAAUGGACGAAAGUCUGACGGAGCAACGCCGCGUGAGUGAAGAAGGUCUUCGGAUUGUAAAGCUCUGUCGUUUGGGACGAACGUGGGUAGUGUGAAUAAUGCUAUCUAAUGACGGUACCAAAGGAGGAAGCCACGGCUAGCUACGUGCCAGCCGCCGCCGUAA